GCUCGUGAGCUGAAAUGAAGUAUAGCCGUCCAUUUCUGAUUAUCAGACGAUCGUGGAAGGAACUUUCCGGUGCCGACGGGAGAAGUUGCGGUUUGGAAAUUCCGUCGCGGAUCAAGUGAAUUCGAGAUGAGCCGGUUCUCUCAGAGACGCAGACAAUGGACUGAUUACCAUCAAGGAAUUGGGCGUUAAAAUUGAUGGAUAUUCCGUCGGUGAGGCGGCGCUUUGAGAAUGUGGGUUUGGUGGAUUGGACGAGACUUUUGGAGAACUUGACGGAGAAGACGUCGAAACCGUACUGGGGUCUGCCAACAGUGGAGAAGAUGAUGGUUCCUUUUGGACUAUUC
RNAcentral lists this long non-coding RNA (341 nucleotides) under Panax ginseng (ginseng). Its description in RNAcentral is "long non-coding RNA (PGIN_LNC006940)". Lineage: Eukaryota; Viridiplantae; Streptophyta; Magnoliopsida; Apiales; Araliaceae. The record is from RNAcentral.